GGGGCCCGCGGGCCCCUCCACGGCAGUGCCGGGAGACCCAGCAGCCUCCCUGUCCUCCUUGUUGCUCGUCAGCACUUGAAACAGAACAGCAACUUCAGUGACACGGCAACUGUAACAUCAAGGCAAGAGCACUGAUAAUACCCAAGAAAGCCAAGACGGGAACACCACAGCUGCCAAGUGCUGGAAAUAAUCAUUAUGAGGGAGUGGCGGACACAGUGAAAAGCAGAGCCUUAGUCCGGAGGGACCUCUCUAAAUGGGAGGACUGGACCACCAGGAUGCUCACAAAGCCCAGCAAGUAGAAGUGCCAGGGGUGCCUGGUGCACAGGGGUGAGUGAGGGAUAACCCUGAGCAUCAGUCCAGGCUGUAAAGUGACUGGUGGAGCUGCUGGAUAGGACUUGCAGGCGUUGUUUUCUCUGGAGGCCUGGAAUCCUUGGCCACACCGUGUUCCAGUGUUGCUCUUGCCGAUAUCACUGUGGUUUCUGCUGGAGUUUCCUGGAUGUUACUUGAAACAGGAUAAUCACUUACUCAUGUGCAACCAACGACCACAUGGAAGCUGCUCACAAAAGAAGCUGCAGCCUUUGCUAACAAAGGAACUCCUUUCUGUUUUAUUUUUCCAAACAAAAUUCUCAAAACAAAGUAAUUAAAUUUCUCCCUUUGUUCUGGC
Aptenodytes forsteri (emperor penguin) is the source of this 664-nucleotide long non-coding RNA. RefSeq lists it as uncharacterized. The record is from RefSeq and is a predicted model, not a curated record. NCBI's taxonomy places the organism in Eukaryota, Metazoa, Chordata, Aves, Sphenisciformes, Spheniscidae. The transcript is spliced from 6 exons.